CACGUAGAGUGCAAGCGUUGUCCGGAAUCAUUGGGCGUAAAGCGCACGUAGGCGGCUUGGCAAGUCGGAUGUGAAAUCCCUCGGCUCAACCAAGGAAGUGCAUCCGAAACUGCUGAGCUUGAGUACUUAAGAGGAUCGCGGAAUUCCCGGUGUAGAGGUGAAAUUCGUAGAUAUCGGGAGGAACACCAGUGGCGAAGGCGGCGAUCUGGGAAGAUACUGACGCUGAGGUGCGAAAGCGUGGGGAGCAAACAGG
Molecule: ribosomal RNA, 253 nt
Filed under: uncultured bacterium
Lineage: Bacteria
Description: partial 16S ribosomal RNA
Rfam family: Bacterial small subunit ribosomal RNA
Source: RNAcentral